AAGAAAGAUUAAAGUUUGUACCUUUUGUAUUAUGGUUCAAUAAGGUUAUGCAAAUAAAAUUUUAUAACCCGAAGCUGGGCGAGCUAGUGUAUUCUGCUUUAAGAGAGAAAAAUUUUUACUGUUGCAAUAGUAAGGUUUGAGGAUACAUUAGGUGUAAAAUGCUUAUCGUGCUCAGGGAUAGCUGGUUUUCCCAGAAAUGGAUUUAAGUUCAGGAAUAUAUUUUUAUUGAGGGAGGAUCAUUUUAUAGAAUAAAUAAAGUGGUUUUUGGUAAUAAUAUAUUUUUAAGACAGGAAGGGACAAGCUUUUCUGUCAAUAAAGAAAAAGCUUUAAUUAUUAAUAAAGGGUGGUUUUUAUAAAAUGUGUUGGUUAAGAUGUUANNNNNNNNNNNNNNNNNNNNNNUAACUUUAGAGAGAGCGUUAAAGCUUAUAAAACACAAGGCAACACAGACAAUUUUUAGAAAAAAACUUUUUGUUGUAAAAGUUUAUGGGAAAAUUUCAUAAAUUUGAAAGUUAUAAUGUUGAAAUUAGUAGAGAUAAAAGAAGUAUUAUUUGUAAAUUAAUCAAGCCUAACCAUUGGAUGGAACAAAUAUUUAUAGUCAGGAAAUUAGUUUGUAUAGGUUGUCUACUAACGCAAGUAAUACAAUAAAUAAGUAAAAUAAGGGAAAGGAACUCGGCAAAUAAAGAUUUNNNNNNNNNNNNNNNNNNNNCGCCCUUUGUAAAGAAUCUUAUAUAUAAAGGGUCCUGCCUGCCCAGUGACUUAGUUAAACGGCCGCGGUAUCUUGACCGUGCAAAGGUAGCAUAAUCAUUUGCCUCUUAAAUGGGGGCUGGAAUGAAUGGCAAGACGGGAAUCAAGCUGUCUCUCUCUUAUAUUUUGAAGUUAAUAUUUUUGUGAAGAAGCAGAAAUAAAAUCGUAGGACGAGAAGACCCUAUCGAGCUUUAAUAGAAAGAAAAGUAUAGAUUUGUAAAUACUGUUUUAUUGCUAAUUAAAUAUUAAAAAUAAUUUAAUAGAUUUUACUAUAAAAACGGAAGAAUUGUUUACUUUAUAUUUAGGUUGGGGCAACCGCGGAGAAUAGAAAUCCUCCGCUAAUUUUAUUGAAAAAAAUAUUUUUUUUCAAUAUAAGAUUUAUAAAAAGUGAUCCACUCAAAAUAGUGAACAAAAGAACAAGUUACCGUAGGGAUAACAGCGUAAUUUUUUUGGAGAGUCCAUAUUGAUAAAAAAGUUUGCGACCUCGAUGUUGGAUCGGGAUUUCCUAGGGAUGCAGCAGUUCCUAAUGGUUGGUCUGUUCGACCAUUAAAAUCCU
Molecule: ribosomal RNA, 1300 nt
Filed under: Perknaster charcoti
Lineage: Eukaryota; Metazoa; Echinodermata; Asteroidea; Valvatida; Ganeriidae
Description: partial 16S ribosomal RNA
Rfam family: Bacterial large subunit ribosomal RNA
Source: RNAcentral